Molecule: transfer RNA, 75 nt
Filed under: Candidatus Peregrinibacteria bacterium
Lineage: Bacteria; Candidatus Peregrinibacteriota
Description: tRNA-Phe
Rfam family: tRNA
About the family: Transfer RNA (tRNA) molecules are approximately 80 nucleotides in length. Their secondary structure includes four short double-helical elements and three loops (D, anti-codon, and T loops).
Source: RNAcentral
GCCAGGGUAGCUCAGUGGUAGAGCGAAGGACUGAAAAUCCUUGCGUCGGCAGUUCGAUUCUGCCCCUUGGCACCA